CUUGAUUAGUUUAUGUAGUUAGGGAUACAAAGUUGUACAAUUGAUGUUUUCCGAGAGUGCAUCUUGCAGUCUUGCACUAAAAGUCUUGUGCAAAGGAGAACUAGCGUUUUGAAAAGUGUCCGGGUUCCUGCGCCCUAGGCCUAGCUGUGAAAAUUGUCUGUGGUUGCUACUUCAGGCCAAUACAUCACCAACGUGUGAAAUAGUUUUUAUACUAAGUCAAAGUCGCUGCUGACAGUCUCUGAACAUACCGUAAGGGUCGAACCCAAAGAAACGUAGUCUAGACUCUAUCCCAGUGAACUAUAAUAAUAAUAUUCCUGUGAUUCCUAUCCUGUUCGCAGGCAAUGGGCAGAAAUCAGUGGCAGAAAUUCCCGCCCACUGAGCUUAGUAUAUAUAUAGCUCAGUGUUCCCGUCCAAUGUCCCCGUGUUCCCGCCGCGCGCAUGACUAAUAGUCGCCAUGGUUACUAGUCUUGUUGAUUUUGUUUAAAUUUAAACUUUAAAAACAAGUGGAGUAAACUAGCGAAACAAACUGCAAUAGAACUCGACGGGAUAUGGAAUGGUCACAAUAUAAAUGAUCGUUUUGAUGUAAGAACCAUGGAUGACACUAAACUGAAAGGAGAUGCAAAGUUGGAAAAUUGUCCACCAGGAAAGAAGGAUAUGUCUGUGUUGCAGGCAAUUAUUGAGGGCGUUAACUGCGAUGUUAGCACUCAAACUAAUAGAAGCACUGACAAUUCUUCGCCCUCCAGUCCAGCGAUAGGCGAGCAUAUCUCCAAUAGGCCUAGCAGUAAAAGUAAGAAAUCGUCAUUCAGAAUAUUCAUUGUACCCGAUUAUCCAGAGGAUGGUGCGUUUCAAGACACGAGUAUGCGAUUAUCUUUUGACGAAGAACACCUGGGGGAAAAUGGCCAGUCAUUGCGUUUUUCCGUUACGUCUAAUAAGUCGAAGGAAGGAGAGGAAACCUUGAAAUCCCGGUAUGAGAAUAAUGAAAAAAAUAAAAGAUACAGAAGCACGUUCAAACAGGGCGAAAACUCCAGGAAAGGUAAAAACACAGCUUCACCCGUGAGUUUCGAGAAUACCAAUCGAAACACGAACAGCGACCAUCACCUCGUACAUUCGUCAAAUCCUAGUGUGCUAGCUUGGUUGAGAUUGAAGAAUUUUGAAGAACGCGAAAAGCAAAGGAAUAAGAAGAAAGAAAGAAAGGAGAAGAGGCGGAAUGCGUAUGAUGAAGCUGAAAAAAAACAGAAGCGUAUCGAAGAAAGCGAAAAGCGAUUCGCACAGUGGUUGACUGCUAAAAAGAAAGAAGCGAGACGUGCACGCAGAGAAAAACGCAUUAGGAAAAUUGAGGACAUUGUACAAAAUUGUGCAGUUGGAAAGGAUAAUGAUCCACCUCCAGACUAUACAGUUGUACCCACUUUUAAAGGUAGUCAGGCUUGGGUUGUAGGAGAGGAGGUUUCGCUUAGUUGUGGAAAAAGAAGUGCCAAUACGAGUAAGAACAACACAAAUAAUAAUAAACUGACCUUAACCGGUGCCGAUAAAUAUCAUGACAAUAUUACCGAGCCAAGUACAUCACUGGAAGCACAAUCGAAAACCGAUGAUCAAGGGCCGCCUUCUAUUGGUAAUGUGGUGGGAAAUCUUUCAGUGGAUCAGGCCUACCUGGAUAGAGGCAGUAGUGAGAUCUAUGAUAAAAGACCUGCAACAGCUAACAGUAGAUUGCUUUCAAUAAGCGGUAUGGGUAGUAAGUUAUCAAAAAAGGGUACGCCAGAGAAAUGGCUUGAAAAAGAAAGCUUCAAAAGACCCACUACUUCGGCUGGAAGACCAACAAGCAAUGCAGAGAUAAAAGAGGCAACCCAAGAAGCGUGGGUCAUGCAAAAGCGAAAAGAACGGAAAUGGAAAAGACCCAUAACUGCACCGGCGUCGCACGGUGACUCUGAAUGCGUGAAAAAGCCUUAUAAAAAGUCGAUCACUUUCGAAACAUGGAAGGCACAAAAGAUACAAGAAAUCAAAGUGAAAAAGAAAGACAAGAAACGGCAAGAGGUCGAUGACGCUAUGACUGAAGCAAUAUUAAAAAUGGGGAGAAAAAGAGUUGACAAUUCUUUCAAAGAAAAAAGACAACUUGAUACAGGAAUGCCAAAGUGGCGAGCUAAAAACAGGGUUGGGAGUAGUAGCGAAAAGAAAAGGGCUGGUUUGUCAGAUACAUCUUCUAACAAGUACGAAGUCAUUAAUUUUUUGACGAAUGAAAAUGACGAGGAAGAAAAGGACAAGCAAUUAAAUGAAGUCGCAGCAAUACAGAAAUUUUGUGAGGAUUUAACGUUGGACUAAGAAAAAAGUACAUUAGUGCAGAACACUGCAAAAAGGAAGUGUGGUCCGGCUGUUUUACCCUUUGGAAUAAGAGCUAUGAUUAUCUAUCAUAACAUAAUUGUUCUCGACGUCGACUUUCUGAUAUUCAUAUAUACUGUAUGUUUAUGCUACAAUUCUGGAUGCUAGGUGUCGCAUACACUAUGGUAUGAUAAAUCAUUGGGUAUAUAUUUCCAGCUAUGUUUGGAUAUAUAUCUGACCCAAAGUCACCACGUAUUCGUGUACCCCUUGGUCGAGCCUGAAUGGCGUGCAGCUGUUCGCGUUGGUGCAAAGUCCCAUGAAGUCAACAGAAUCACUUAAGCUGAACAACACUGGCGAUCGAUGCAGGAAAAACAGUGUUACCAAGUCUUCGUCGCCAGCUACAUUUCUUGUCCAUACUGCUCAGAAUCUUUCAUGCUGACUCGGAUUGACCUUAUUAAUUGAGACUGGCCUCCAGGGUGUCCAGAUGGCCCUUGUCUUACCAACGGACACACAAGAGGGGGCAAGCCCAAAAAAAUUUGAAUGCCAACAUUGAGAUUUUCCGAUUGAUCGAUCAGACAAAGGGACAAAAGGUAAAGUAUUCAAAAGUCGUACCUUAAUUGGAA
This 2933-nucleotide unclassified non-coding RNA is filed under the name Dendronephthya gigantea. RNAcentral describes it as "dNA ligase 1-like, transcript variant X1". Lineage: Eukaryota; Metazoa; Cnidaria; Anthozoa; Malacalcyonacea; Nephtheidae. The record is from RNAcentral.